Non-coding RNA from Equus caballus (horse), 508 nucleotides. The record is from RefSeq and is a predicted model, not a curated record. NCBI's taxonomy places the organism in Eukaryota, Metazoa, Chordata, Mammalia, Perissodactyla, Equidae.
CAGGAGCCGUAGCUGAGGCAGGUUCGUGGUCACGUGACGAGAGGAAGGGCGGACGUGAGGCGCACGCACAGCAGCAGGGGCGGCGCGACGGCGAUACGGAGACAUCUUUGUUGUGGGCGAAGUCGGCCAACCUCAGAAAUGCAUAAAGGGAAGAAAUGUGUAAAUGGAAAAAGUGCAGACAUCUAUUAAGAAGUCAAGAAAAAAAUUCCUCAUAAUCCCACAAUCAAGAAGAAUCACUACAAACAUUUUGGACACCAUUGACCUGCAACAAUCGAGGACUAUUGUUUCUGACAUGCUCAAUGGAUCUACUGCUAAUCUCCUUAACCAUCUACUUCCUAAGCAGAACUUCCGUGAAGUUAGUAGAAGCUGCAGAGUUAUAUGGAAUUGAGCAUAAGAAAACACACAGUAAGCUAGGGAUGCUCAGAAAUCAACUGGCAGGGCUGGCCCAGUGGCGCAGCAGUUAAGUGCGCACAUUCUGCUUCAGCAGCCCAGAGUUUGCCGGUUUGGA